RNAcentral lists this ribosomal RNA (238 nucleotides) under uncultured Pseudomonadales bacterium. Its description in RNAcentral is "partial 16S ribosomal RNA". It matches the Rfam family "Bacterial small subunit ribosomal RNA", at positions 89 to 334 of the family's 1533-position model. Lineage: Bacteria; Pseudomonadati; Pseudomonadota; Gammaproteobacteria; Pseudomonadales. The record is from RNAcentral.
UACUUAGUGGCGGACGGGUGAGUAAUGCUUAGGAAUCUGCCUAGUAGUGGGGGAGUAACUUGGGGAAACCCAAGCUAAUACCGCAUACGACCUACGGGUGAAAGGGGGCUUUUAGCUCUCGCUAUUAGAUGAGCCUAAGUCGGAUUAGCUGGUUGGUGGGGUAAAGGCCUACCAAGGCGACGAUCUGUAGCUGGUCUGAGAGGAUGAUCAGCCACACUGGGACUGAGACACGGCCCAG